AACGAACGCUGGCGGCAUGCCUAACACAUGCAAGUCGAACGAGACCUUCGGGUCUGGUGGCGCACGGGUGCGUAACGCGUGGGAACCUGCCCUUAGGUUCGGCAUAACUCCCCGAAAGGGGUGCUAAUACCGGAUAAUGUCUUCGGACCAAAGAUUUAUCGCCUUGGGAUGGGCCCGCGUUGGAUUAGCUAGUUGGUAGGGUAAAAGCCUACCAAGGCGACGAUCCAUAGCUGGGCUGAGAGGAUGAUCAGCCACACUGGGACUGAGACACGGCCCAGACUCCUACGGGAGGCAGCAGUGGGGAAUAUUGGACAAUGGGCGAAAGCCUGAUCCAGCAAUGCCGCGUGAGUGAUGAAGGCCUUAGGGUUGUAAAGCUAUUUUACCCGGGAUGAUAAUGACAGUACCGGGAGAAUAAGCUCCGGCUAACUCCGUG
This 433-nucleotide ribosomal RNA is filed under the name uncultured bacterium. RNAcentral describes it as "partial 16S ribosomal RNA". It matches the Rfam family "Bacterial small subunit ribosomal RNA", at positions 29 to 507 of the family's 1533-position model. The record is from RNAcentral.